RNAcentral lists this unclassified non-coding RNA (243 nucleotides) under uncultured Mycosphaerellaceae. Its description in RNAcentral is "sequence contains 5.8S rRNA gene". The stretch from base 1 to 53 matches the Rfam family "5.8S ribosomal RNA", at positions 102 to 154 of the family's 154-position model. Lineage: Eukaryota; Fungi; Ascomycota; Dothideomycetes; Mycosphaerellales; Mycosphaerellaceae. The record is from RNAcentral.
GAACGCACAUUGCGCCCCCUGGCAUUCCGGGGGGCAUGCCUGUUCGAGCGUCAUUACACCACUCAAGCCUGGCUUGGUAUUGGAGGCCGCGGUCCGCCGCGCCUCCUAAUGUCGCCGACCGAGUCGUCUGUCUCCGAGCGUUGUGAAUCUUCAAUUCGCUUUCGAGUACAGGCGGCGCGCGCCGUUAAACCUCUUUUUCAGCUUUUGACCUCGAAUCAGGUGGGACUACCCGCUGAACUUAAG